Molecule: ribosomal RNA, 452 nt
Filed under: uncultured bacterium
Lineage: Bacteria
Description: bacterial SSU rRNA
Rfam family: Bacterial small subunit ribosomal RNA
Source: RNAcentral
UACGGGAGGCAGCAGUGGGGAAUAUUGCACAAUGGGCGCAAGCCUGAUGCAGCCAUGCCGCGUGUAUGAAAAAGGCCUUCGGGUUGUAAAGUACUUUCAGUCGUGAGGAAGGUGUUAAGGUUAAUAACCUUAGCAAUUGACGUUAGCGACAGAAGAAGCACCGGCUAACUCCGUGCCAGCAGCCGCGGUAAUACGGAGGGUGCGAGCGUUAAUCGGAAUUACUGGGCGUAAAGGGCACGCAGGCGGUUAAUUAAGUUGGAUGUGAAAUCCCCGGGCUUAACCUGGGAAUGGCAUUCAAGACUGGUUAGCUAGAGUCUUGUAGAGGGGGUGAAUUCCAUGUGUAGCGGUGAAAUGCGUAGAGAUGUGGAGGAAUACCGGUGGCGAAGGCGGCCCCUGGACAAAGACUGACGCUCAUGUGCGAAAGCGUGGGGAGCAAACAGGGAUUAGAUACC